Molecule: non-coding RNA, 213 nt
Organism: Cinara cedri
Lineage: Eukaryota; Metazoa; Arthropoda; Insecta; Hemiptera; Aphididae
Source: the annotation of a GenBank genome assembly
AAAUGCAUACACACAAUCCAAUUCAUAUAUAUUGGUAAAACGUAUUUGUUACUACCUAUACGAGGGGCUUUAUUCCGAUUACGUUCUAGAAGUGUUUUGGCGGUUUUUCAAAUAUGUUUCAAUAUCUACUAUACGUGCGUACUCGUAUAAUAUAAUCACGUUCGAGAGCUACGGGUUUUGGGAUUUCCAGAAUAUGACGAAGCGAUUAACGAU